Molecule: ribosomal RNA, 460 nt
Filed under: uncultured bacterium
Lineage: Bacteria
Description: partial 16S ribosomal RNA
Rfam family: Bacterial small subunit ribosomal RNA
Source: RNAcentral
CCUACGGGCGGCAGCAGUGAGGAAUAUUGGUCAAUGGGCGUAAGCCUGAACCAGCCAAGUCGCGUGAGGGAUGAAGGUUCUAUGGAUCGUAAACCUCUUUUAUAAGGGAAUAAAGUGUGGGACGUGUCCUGUUUUGUAUGUACCUUAUGAAUAAGGAUCGGCUAACUCCGUGCCAGCAGCCGCGGUAAUACGGAGGAUCCGAGCGUUAUACGGAUUUAUUGGGUUUAAAGGGUGCGUAGGCGGCAUGUUAAGUCAGCGGUGAAAGUCUGUGGCUCAACCAUAGAAUUGCCGUUGAAACUGGGAGGCUUGAGUAUGUUUGAGGCAGGCGGAAUGCGUGGUGUAGCGGUGAAAUGCUUAGAUAUCACGCAGAACCCCGGUUGCGAAGGCAGCCUGUCAGGCCAUGACUGACGCUGAUGCACGAAAGCGUGGGGAUCAAACAGGAUUAGAUACCCGUGUAGUC